AGAGAGGAGAGGGAGAGAGAGAGAGAGAGAGAGAGAGAGAGAGAGAGAGAGAGACACGUUGUGUCUCUCUUGGCAUCUGGCCAGAACACGAGAUGCAAAGGAUUCUGGGUACAGAUAAGAGAGAAUUAAAUUGCUGAACUGCUACUAAAUAGUGCUGACUAAUUGUCAUGUGCGGUAAUUCAGUUCCAGCUGUCCUAAAAUUAUUACAAAUAGUUCUGUAGAAUAUGCAGGUUCAAAUAUGUAUAUAUAUCAGUAUAAAUAUAUAUAUAUCAUCGGGGGUUAACAGCCUGUCCUGCCGCCUUGUGUGCUUUCUGCAGCAGCUUCUCACGCCCCCCAGUUCCCCCGGUGCAGCGCACCAGGGGUUAACACUGGGUAGUACUGCCUUGUGCUGCUGGGGCUCCCUGCAUGGAAACCAGAACAUGAAAUCCCUGAUAUUGAGCAUGAAACAGAUGGCAACUAGCAUGAAACUGCUGGCAACGGGCAUAGAACCCAGGGCAUGAAACCAUAAACAAUGAGCAUUAGACUCCUGGCAACGAGCAUGGAACCCAGGGCAUGAAACCAUUGGCAACGAGCAUGAGACCCCUGGCAACUAGCAUGAAACCGCUGGCAAAGGGCAUAGAACCUAGGGCAUGUAACCAUUGGCAACGAGCAUGAGACACCUGGCAACGAGCAUGAGACCCCUGGCAACGAGCAGGUGCUCAACCAGAUGUCUCUCAAACUCUCCGAAGCUGUCAUACUUUCUCCAACGUUCCGGCUUCCCGUGCUGCCUCUGGAUAAUCCAAGCACAAAUGUUUGAGAUUUCUUUCACCAAAGUGCUGUCUCCUCCUUCUAGUCUAGCUGCAAAGUGUUAAUGAAAUGAUAGUUACAUGUUAAAAUGUACAAAUAUUUUAAUACUAUAUACUCCAUGUUCUAGUCUAUAGCUAUGGCUAUAAAUAAAUACACAACAUUAUAAUACCAUCAAA
Long non-coding RNA from Pseudophryne corroboree (corroboree frog), 962 nucleotides. RefSeq lists it as uncharacterized. The transcript is spliced from 2 exons. NCBI's taxonomy places the organism in Eukaryota, Metazoa, Chordata, Amphibia, Anura, Myobatrachidae. The record is from RefSeq and is a predicted model, not a curated record.